RNA transcript from Anthonomus grandis grandis, 852 nucleotides. RefSeq lists it as uncharacterized. The transcript has 3 exons. The record is from RefSeq and is a predicted model, not a curated record. Lineage: Eukaryota; Metazoa; Arthropoda; Insecta; Coleoptera; Curculionidae.
UGAUUGGUCAAAUUUAAUUUGAGAUGACGUAUUAGACGUAUGUCGAUACUUAAAACUCUUAAACUCGAACUCGUGUUCGUGGUUCGUUUGUUCGGCGUUGUAGGGUGUUGUUGUUGUUUUUAAAAUCUCAAAAUGUAUGAUUUAACAAAUGUAAUUACGAAACUAAAUGAAACCUUUUGUGUUGUGCUAGAGAAGUCCGAAAAAGCAUGUGCUACUUUGCGGGCCAACGUUAAUUCUGAAGAAGAGGUUCAAGCAUUUUUGUUGGUAUUUAGCGACAUAACCAAAACAAAUUGGAUCGUACAUCAUAAUGUACCUUCUUCACAAAGAAUAGUGUUUCACAAAGCUUGGUUAUGUCAUCACAGUUGUAAACAUAAGUCCAUCCACCAGAAAACAGAAAGAAAUACUGGAUGUAGCGCUGCAUUGGAUAUUAAAAUCAAAUUGAAUACUGUUAACACUCGCCGCAGUGAUAAAUAUUUGGCUAGAUCUCCACCACUAUGUGCAGUUGUGAGAUUUAAAAUUGAGCACAACCACAAUAUUAAUACAAGUAGUGUUUUAAGAUUACUUAGGGUAUCAAAAGAGGUAUGUGUGGCAGCUGUACCUACUUAGACCAUUUCUAUAUUUGAACUUCGGUAGCUCAGGUGUCGCGGAAUUUCAAAGGUGGUGCAGCUAUUCGCGUUCAACCAACUUCUAUUGCACGAUGAAGAAAUGGAGUCACCAAGGGCUCAAAUAGCUGCUGGACGCCCUCCAACAAAAUUUAAGUCUAACAGAGUUAAAAAAAGGCCAAGAAAUUUACAUAAAAAUAUUAUGGCAAAUUUACCCCGUGCCAAAUCUCAUGGUAGGUAACUAAUCAAU